RNAcentral lists this long non-coding RNA (1223 nucleotides) under Coffea arabica (coffee). Its description in RNAcentral is "long non-coding RNA (CARA_LNC002690)". The record is from RNAcentral. Lineage: Eukaryota; Viridiplantae; Streptophyta; Magnoliopsida; Gentianales; Rubiaceae.
GAACCAAGAAAAACCAAAGGUAAGUCUCUUCUCCUGUCACUCUGAUAAGAAGGCCUUUCGCCAAGAAAUGAUGCCUAAAGCAAGAGGCAUCAGUAAUAAGCUGGAGAUGAUCAAUAAAGAAGUGAAAGACUUUUUAGCUUCUGAGAAAUAUGGUGUCACAACUGCUUCUUCCCCUCAGGUAGAUGUAGUUCAGGAGGUUGGCUUCUUGAUUGCUGACCUGAAAAUCACAGAAAAUGAGGAAAAGACAUCUAUAGAAAAUUUCUGGUCCAUAAUAAAAGAAAAGGCAGGUGUAAGUGAUGAAAUACCAAUAGGCCUGAAGGACAUAGGAAGGCACAUUGCAGAAAAGUGUCAAGGUCUGUCUUUAGCAGCAAAUUUACUUGGAGGUUUGUUACAAAACAAAAGAAGGGAUUUCUGGUUGUCAAUUUUAGAAAGCGGGGUAUUAGAUAAAGAAGAUGUAAUCUCUGCGAUACUCAAAUUGUGCUUUGAAAAUCUGCCAUCUCCAUUCCUCAAAAGAUGUUUUGCAUUUUGUUCGAUGUUUCCAAGGAACUCUGUUAUAGAAAGGGACCAGCUAGUCCAGCUUUGGAUGGCUGAAGGAUUUAUUGACCCAGGGUUGGGGAUUUCUGUGAUGGAAGAAAUAGGAAAUCAAUACUUUGACACUUUGUUGCAGAAUUCUUUACUUGAAAUUGUAAGCAAGGAUAACUUCAACAAAGUAACACAUUGUAAACUGCAUAAUCUUGUCUAUGAUUUUGCAUAUUCUCUAUCAAGCUUCGAGAGCAUCACCAUCGGCGAAAGAGAUCAAGAUGACAUUCGUCAGAUUCAACACCUUGCAUUGGAGUCGUUUACAGAGGAAACCAUGAAGAUUGCCAAGGAGAAAGCAAGAUAUUUGAGGACAUUAUUCCUAAAGAAAAAUUUACCUGACAAUAACUUGCUAAAUCUAAACUUCUUGUAUGUUUUAAACCUCUGUGAUGCAGAUAUAGCAGAAUUGCCAGUAUAUGUUGGAAAUCUAAGGCAUUUAGAAUACCUUGAUCUCUCGAGGACAGAGAUAAAGUCUAUACCCGACUCUGCCUGCAACCUUUACAAGUUGAAGACAUUGAGGAUCAUUGGAUGUAAUUCUCUUGAAGAACUCCCAAAAGAUUUCAAGAAUUUGCUAUGCCUGAGACAUCUUCACUUCUAUUAUAAUGAGUACUUCUCUAUGCCAUAUGAGUUUGGGCGAUUAAGUCACC